UCAAACUUGGUCAUUUAGAGGAAGUAAAAGUCGUAACAAGGUUUCCGUAGGUGAACCUGCGGAAGGAUCAUUAAGGAUGGGUUUUUUUGGGUACGUGUACCUGAUACCUAUGUAUGUGAAUGGGAUGAUAUUGGAGAAGGAGUGGCGGAUAGGUUCCUGUGGCUUGUUUUGCCUGGGACGGUCUGACUGGGUUUGCGCCAGCAGACAGCCAGGGAUAGAGUGGAGCGGUAGUUUAUGAUAUAUGAUGAAAAACUAUUAACGAUGGAUCCCUCGGCUCUCGCAUCGAUGAAGAACGCAGC
RNAcentral lists this unclassified non-coding RNA (299 nucleotides) under uncultured fungus. Its description in RNAcentral is "partial contains small subunit ribosomal RNA, internal transcribed spacer 1, and 5.8S ribosomal RNA". The stretch from base 1 to 73 matches the Rfam family "Eukaryotic small subunit ribosomal RNA", at positions 1759 to 1831 of the family's 1831-position model. The record is from RNAcentral. Lineage: Eukaryota; Fungi.